GGGCGCCGAGCGGCGGAGCCGGCGGGAAGGCCCCUCGCUCCUACGCCUGGCGCGAGCGGGCGGCGGCGGCGGCGCCGCGGCCCCAGGCCUGUCCCGAGACCCGGCGCGGCCAGUUCCUGGGACGGGACCCCUGCGGGGAGGAGGACGGGAGGAGGCCCCGCGGCGAGCCCGGAGGCCCAGCGGCCUGGGCCGCGUCACCGCAGCCACAUGGCCUCCGGAGUGGGCGCGGCCUUCGAGGAGCUGCCGCACGACGGCACGUGUGACGAGUGCGAGCCAGACGAGGCCCCCGGGGCCGAGGAAGUGUGCCGAGAGUGCGCCUUCUGCUACUGCCACCGCCACGCCGAGGCGCACAGGCAGAAGUUCCCCAGCCACCACCUGGCCCAGUACGUCCACGGCGCCGCCCCGGCCUGGACCGCGGACGCCCCCGCGCAGGGCGACGCGAAGGAAGAUGCCCAGGCCAAGGUGGAGAAUGAGAGGGAUGUAGAGAGCGAGGUGGGGGAGGAGAGCGAGUCCGAGGAAGACAGUGAAUCCGAAGAAGAGAGCGAGACGGAGGAAGAGAGUGAGGAUGAGAGCGAUGAAGACAGUGAAGACGACAGUGAGGAAGAGAUGGAGGAUGAGCAAGAGAGCGAAGCAGAGGAAGACAACCAAGAAGGAGAAUCUGAGGCCGAGGGAGAAACGGAGGCAGAAAGCGAAUUUGACCCAGAAAUAGAAAUGGAAGCGGAGAGAGUGGCCAAGAGGAAGUGUCCGGACCAUGGGCUCGAUUUGAGCACCUAUUGCCAGGAAGAUAAGCAGCUUAUCUGUGUCCUGUGUCCGGUCAUUGGGACUCACCAGGGCCACCAGCUCUCCACUCUAGAUGAAGCCUUCGAGGAACUAAGAAGCAAAGACUCUGGCGGACUGAAGGCGGCUAUGAUCGAGUUGGUGGAAAGGUUAAAGUUCAAGAGCUCAGAUCCUAAAGUAACCCGGGACCAGAUGAAGGUGUUUAUACAGCAGGAAUUUAAGAAAGUUCAGAAAGUGAUUGCUGAUGAGGAGCAGAAGGCCCUUCAUCUAGUGGACAUCCAGGAAGCAAUGGCUACCGCUCAUGUGACUGAGAUACUGGCAGACAUCCAGUCCCACAUGGAUAGGUUGAUGACUCAGAUGGCCCAAGCCAAGGAACAACAUGAUACCUCUAAUGAAUCAGCUGAGCCAAAGGCGGAGGGUGACGAGGAAGGACCCAGGGGGUAGAGCGGAAAUCGGCUGAAACCUUGAAAGGAGCAUCCUAAUUAAAAGGGUGAGAGGUGGAUGCCUCUCACCUCAGGACAGACAGGAUUGAAACUGAAACCAGUGUCUGACCCAGAGACAUCCUGCCCUAAGUCCCCGGGACGGUGUCUUGGUGGCGGGCCCUUUGGCACGACUGUUGGCUGGAGCCCACAAGAACGGAGCGGUGCCAGUGAAGACGAGGACACAUGAAGGCUUGCUGUCCCCAGUGGAAACUCCUCCCUCCCCCUGUGUGUAUGUGACGGCGUGUAUGUAACGGCUUCUGAUUUCUGUGAAAGCUGCCCAGCAACAAACGUCCUUCCACCGGAUCCAUCCCCAGGUCCACAGCAGGCACACAUCUGUCCAAGGGAUGACCAACUUUAUUGUCACUGACUGUGCUUGUCAUUCUCUUGUCAUGGUAGGUCAAGGGAAAGUGCCCCUGUGAUCAACCAGGAGCAGUUAAUGAAGAAGCGUCCUUCAGGUAGUCCCUCAAUGGCUGCUCUGAACUUACUCAGGAAAGCCAGCCCUUGGAAUAUCGUAUACCCAGACAGCAUCGCUUCAUCUGGAAGGAUCUGGAAUAAUCUUGAAGGGCAGUCAGAACUUUUUCCCUACCUGCGAAUAAAACCCCACUUUAUUUAUACUGAAGCAUGAAAUAAUGGGGGAGGGGCAAAGUAGGGCUCUGUAGAUAGUUUCUGAAAGUCCCAUUAUACAGUUGUGAAAAUGUGGUUCCAUGAAGUAAGAUGGGUGGCCUGAAGAUGGGGUUGGAGAAAGAGUUAAAAGUUUGAAAUACAGAGAUAUUUUUAGUAUAUGAGGUUAUCCAGCACUUCAGAUCCAUAAUUCAGUGCUGUGGAAAUGAAAAAAAUGAUUGAAGAGGUGGAAAGGAAAUGACUUUAAAAAAAAAAAAAAAAAGGACCAAAGAGAUCUGAUUAAAAGUUGAAAUCAGUAUUUCCGAACUCAAAUUGCCUGAGUUUCCAAAAUAGUCACUAAAGGAUCUGAUGGAGCCUGAGUUAUUUGGGUGAAUUCUGCCAGUUUUCUGGGUCUUGUCACAACAUGAAGUCUGCAGUGUAUAUUGCAAAGUGGGAAUUUUUCAGUGUGGGUUUUUGGUGCCCUCGCCCCAACCCCCUUGGCCUCAUUUGGCUUAAAUGCAGUGUAGGGAGAGUUCUUAUCGCUCUGGUGUGCUGAGUCAAGCCCCGUCUCCCAGCAGGUGCACCCACCUUUCACUCCAGCUGGAACCCCUCUUCCCAUGGCACCCCACCCACCGGCCUUCGGACCCUCUCCUGCAGCCAGGCUCUCCCCUCUCGAGUACCAUGAGCAGAGGCACACCGUGGUUGUACUUCCAGCCCUUCCCCACUCCCGAGUCACAUUUCCUUACCGUCAGGUUUUCUAUUCCCAAGUAAGCCAUGAUCUCUAGGGAGUGCAAACCCGCAAGCGAAAGAACCUGCAUUUUCUCAGACAUCAGUUUAUGGUUUGGAGUUAGGGGAUGCCCUUACUUUUAGAUAAAACAGUUAAUUAUGAAAUAGAAUGUUCGUACACGCAGUUAAGAUAAAAUGGGACGCUUCCCAGGGAAUUCUUAUUUGCGAGUGGGGUGUAUGCCUUCCCUGUCCUCUGCCUUUAGCGGUAUUUUGGUGUUCACUCCCGAGAAGUACAACCGGAACCGUAUCCACGCAGCUGACUCAGGGCCUCGACUUCUAGUUGCCUCCGCAGCAGAGCUGAAGGCAUCUGCCCUGGAGAAAUCCCUCUCCUCCUGCCUGCCUGUGACCUAUGUACCUAUCACAGAGCUUUAGGGCCAGCUGGUUUCGGGGGGGGGGGGGGAGGUUUUGAGGCUGAAGCAAUACUUACUGUAGGAAGCCUAUUUAUGUCAUCGUCCAAUCCUGUGUUUGCUAUGAAACUAUUUCUUUGAGGCCAGGAAGCUACUGGGCAUAUCUGCUUCUGGGUUAGGAUUACCCUGACUCACUACAUAUGUUAGGAUGUUGGGACCAAGAGUUCUUUGGGCAGUUAAAAAAAAAAAAUAACAUAUAUAUAUAUUUUUUUUCUCUCAAACUGGUGGUCAACAAAUGGCUAAGACAGUUUUGGUGCUUUCCCUAUCUGCCUGCAAAGACUGGAGAAUUUGGCAUACCACUAAUGACAACCCCCAGCCUCACCCAACAGAACUCCCCAAAAAGGACCAGGGGCCACUCUUACAAGAGUUUAAACACCAACAGAUUAAGAACACCUGAGGAUUUGGAUGCUUGUGUUCGUCUUUCCCCAAUAAUUAUUGUUGAAUCUCCCAAGUAGUAGCCUUAUCUUAGCAAUGGACAGACCAUUGGCUCCUCCAUACCUGAUUAUAUGUUAUUACUUAAAGUCAGUUUCUGGGAAACUCGAGCAUGUAUGCGGUAGAUACGAACAGAAGUAUAAAAAUACAUGCCAGCCUAUCUCCGUAUGUUAUCAUAUCUCUGUAAUCCUCAAGGAAAGCACUUUUGCUUUUACUUAGGAUUUCAGAUUUGCUCGAUGGGCUCCUGCUGUCUUCAGCACCUGAUAAAACUUUAACCAGGGAAGCAUUAAACAUGGUGCAACAGCUUCUGCCCAGGCUCCUGAGUUCCUGCCAGCAGCAUUUAUCAAUGUAAGAACGAGGAUGCUUCCUGCAGUGGCACCAGCCCCCCCCCCCCGGAGCCAGAGCGUGCUGCUCAGACUCAAGCCCCAGCAGGAUGAGGCCUUACUGCCAGGUCAGUAACAGAGUGCUCGAAAGUGUGUGCUGACCGACUGCAGGCUGUGGGGGGAGGGGUGGGUGUUGCAGAAAUCCCCGGGGAGAAGUCACCGAGGGAGGCAGGUCACGAGUGUGUCCAGAACGAAUUGGGUCCCCACAGCGAUCCCUGGCUGCUUUCCAAAGUUUGGUUCUCUGGAGGCUGAGAGUGGGUUUGUCCUUUGAUUUGAUAUCAUUGAAUCCAGGGCGAUUCUAAGAAGUCCUUAGAGUCUCAGCUGUGGGGGGAGAAAUGACCUAUAUUGAGGACCAGCUGUGAGCCAGGCCCUGCCCUCGGCCCCAGUUUCUCAGCUGAUAAAACGGAUGUGGAGUGGAAGACCCCGUUGCCCUGAGUUACACAGCUAGAAGUAUUGGCGCCAGAUUUUGAGCCCAGCUCUCCCUCACUUUGUGGUGGUCUGUGGCACAUCGACGACACGGAGGAGGAGGCCUCAGACCCCCCCCCCCCCACUGCAAUCCGACCAUCCCACUUUAUGGAUUCUUUUCCAAAAUUACAUUUCAUGGCUAUCCUUUGGGCUCAGAAAUGGCAUCGAGGUAGCCUCAUUCUGCCACUGUAGCAGAUACGUGAAGUCCACAUUGCUAACUUGAGCCUGCCCCCAGGAGCUGGGGGAGCCUUUCCUUUUGGGCGCCAUCCCCCAGAAAUGAGAGUUUUUCUAGGCCUUCAAGAGUACAGAAGUUCUUAGAAAUGGUCCAAGUGAAGAGGGUUCUGCUAAGUUUAUUUGAAAACGUGUGCUGCUGCACUGCCACAGAGAAGGCAGUCUUCCUAUUUUAGCCCAGCCUGUCCUGUGCUCUUUGACGAUGUGUUAACUCAAAGUUCGGUGAAUCUAGACUUUCCUGCUGAUACCUGCUAUGGACAUGUGUACACACACACACACACACACACACACACACACACACUGAGUACAUAUGUAUAUGUAAAUGACAAGGGUACAUGCAUAGACCCUCACACACACAUAGUGGAGGAACUCAGGGGAGACCGGGGCGGCCCCCCUCCUGAUCUUGUGUACCACAGCACCACCGCGGGGGCUUCUGCCAGCCCCGAUCACAAGUGUCACCACAUAGUGGGAGCUCAGGAGCUUGCUUACAAGGUGCUCACGAGAAGAACAGCUCCUUGGCAGAGGUUGUCGGCCCCUAAAGCACAGGGCCAAGGUGGGCUCCAGCCCUGCUCCGAGAUGUCUAACGAUAUGGGAAACGAUAGCCCAGCCAUUUUGAGGACCCAGGAGUCUGCCCACUCCAGUCAGGACUGAGGGCACAGCUACAGAGUUUGUGACUUGUGCUGGUGGCAGGGUAUAGGAAGUCCUCCCCUCCCCCCACCUAGAAAGUGUUCUCUUGCCAACACCUGAAGUUUCAUAUGCACAUAAUGGCUGUUUAGUACAUGCUUCGUAAUCAGAAAAUCGGUUGCAUGUUUGCUGUGUGCCUAGCCCAUCUGGACUUCCGUUGAAAACACAAAUCUCUUUAGGGAUGACACAGCCCAGACUUAAGAGAGAGAGAAGAGACUCGAGAUCUCAUUAAUAUGGCCUACACCCAGCAGUGCUCUGAAGCCCCCACCCAGCCCAUUCCCAGACUCAGGCCCAGGGGGCCUGCCUGGUGGAAGAGUAGCAUUUGGAACUGAACACACACCAGAAGCAGCACAAGGAGUGCCGGGGCAGGAAAAUGAAAACAAAUUGAGACACUUGUGCCUAUAAAGGUGCAAAGCAUGCCACAGAGCCCAUGCUGGGGUUGAUAGGACCUUGAGGGGACAGUGGACUUAUAUUAACAGGAAUCAAACCUGACCAGUCUUUGUACAGUGACAGGCCAUACUGCAUGGGUGGGGACAAGCAACGAAUCCGUUGUCCUCUGCCUGUUUUCCUGUGCACAGUCACAUUCCCUCCUUACCUUCUCCUUCCACCCUUCACGUUAAACAAGGGAACACUCGCUCUUCCAAGGGAAUUACACAUUUGAGUUAAUGUUUCAGUAUAUCAUUUUCAUACUGUAAAUUAUUUUGUAAGAGAGAUUUACCGCUAUCCCAGGAUGUUUGGACUCAGCGCCCCUGUGCAUUUGGAAAUCAAUAAACUAUUACUGGAAAUACCA
Molecule: RNA transcript, 6037 nt
Organism: Felis catus (domestic cat)
Lineage: Eukaryota; Metazoa; Chordata; Mammalia; Carnivora; Felidae
Gene: TRIM44
Gene name: tripartite motif containing 44
Exons: 6
Source: RefSeq, a predicted model, not a curated record